This 752-nucleotide ribosomal RNA is filed under the name uncultured Actinomycetes bacterium. RNAcentral describes it as "bacterial SSU rRNA". It matches the Rfam family "Bacterial small subunit ribosomal RNA", at positions 8 to 776 of the family's 1533-position model. The record is from RNAcentral. Lineage: Bacteria; Bacillati; Actinomycetota; Actinomycetes.
AGGGUUGAUCAUGGGCUCAGGACGAACGCUGGCGGCGUGCUUAACACAUGCAAGUCGAACGGUGAUCUCCGCUUGCGGGGUGAUCAGUGGCGAACGGGUGAGUAACACGUGGGCAACCUGCCCCCGGCUCUGGGAUAACUCCAAGAAAUUGGGGCUAAUACCGGAUAUCCUCUGCUGGCCGCAUGGUCUGGUGGUGGAAAGGGUUUCCGGCUGGGGAUGGGCCCGCGGCCUAUCAGCUUGUUGGUGGGGUAGUGGCCUACCAAGGCGACGACGGGUAGCCGGCCUGAGAGGGUGACCGGCCACACUGGGACUGAGACACGGCCCAGACUCCUACGGGAGGCAGCAGUGGGGAAUAUUGCGCAAUGGGCGGAAGCCUGACGCAGCGACGCCGCGUGGGGGAUGACGGCCUUCGGGUUGUAAACCUCUUUCAGCAGGGACGAAGCGCAAGUGACGGUACCUGCAGAAGAAGCACCGGCCAACUACGUGCCAGCAGCCGCGGUAAUACGUAGGGUGCAAGCGUUGUCCGGAAUUAUUGGGCGUAAAGAGCUCGUAGGCGGUUGGUCGCGUCGGCUGUGAAAACCCGGAGCUCAACUCCGGGCCUGCAGUCGAUACGGGCCGACUUGAGUGUUGCAGGGGAGACUGGAAUUCCUGGUGUAGCGGUGAAAUGCGCAGAUAUCAGGAGGAACACCGGCGGCGAAGCGGGUCUCUGGGCAACAACUGACGCUGAGAGCGAAGCGUGGGGAGCGAACAGG